AAACGAUCCACAUAAACUAAAUGUGUACUACACAUGAACUGUAGUAUAGCAGUGUUCGUUUAUGCAAAGAGAAAUGAUCGUGCAUGGUUUGAUGUUGCCUUUAUGUUUGGAGCAAAGUGUCAUGGUGUUGUGAUUUGAAUUGCUUACAGACCGCUGCCACACAUAAGAAAUGGCUACCCGCUCUUUGAACCCCAUGGGAACCCGGUGUACGCCAGAGAGCUACUGAUAUACCCCUGUGAUCCAGAGAGCUGUGACAUCGUGUUUAAGAACAUCCUGGGAGAUACUAUUCUGAUUGAUGACCUGGACUCUGCAAAUAACUACAGAACGGCGGUGUUGCAGAACAGGAUCCAAUGUCCCACCAUACUGACCAGGCAGGGGGAUAGGGUCAGUAGCAGGGGAAAGUUUGGAGGUGCACAGAACAGGGCCCCACCGAUGACCACGUUACACAUGUUUGGAGCCCCCCUCCCACAGCAGUACCACAGUCUAAAGGAACAAAUAGACCUGCUCAGCCAGUACUGCUCAGCUGUAUCGAAGAGAGAGGAAACAGAAAGGGCGCGAGAUGAUCACGUUAAAAAAAUUACGUCUCCUGAUGUGCGGCAAAUGGAAAAAGAUUUGGACGACAAAAAGAGGCAGCUAACAGAGAUUGAAAAGGAACUCGCAUCAGCAUCAGCAAAAGGAAUGAAACGACGCGCUGUGGAUGGUGGUCAGCCCUCCAGCAGCAUUUCAAAAAGAGCAAGACAGAGUUCCACAUAAGAGAUUCUGAUUGGACCAAUGGAUUGUUUUACUAUAAGUCUUUUUUGUAGUUUUAUUUCUUUGUUAACUUUGAGUUGAUACAAUGUAUUUUAUCUUUUAGAUGCCUUUUGUACAUUUUAACACUUUUGUAAUGGUAAAAAGUGCUUAUGAUCUUUGCAGAGCAUGCUGAAUCUGCUGAAUGUAUGCAGUAAAAAAUUCUUAAGAUCUCACUUUGUGUAUUUGUUCGUUUCUUUUCUGAAAAACGCAAAACUGAAAACUUUACUUGUUAAGUUUAAGCAUACCGACAGUGUUAAGCGCACAUUUUACGCACGGAGAUAAUCACUGUGCCUUUGAAACAAAAUCAACCAUUAUCCCCGGCCCCGGAUAA
Molecule: RNA transcript, 1120 nt
Organism: Haplochromis burtoni (Burton's mouthbrooder)
Lineage: Eukaryota; Metazoa; Chordata; Actinopteri; Cichliformes; Cichlidae
Exons: 5
Source: RefSeq, a predicted model, not a curated record